CCUACGGGAGGCAGCAGUGAGGAAUAUUGGUCAAUGGACGAGAGUCUGAACCAGCCAAGUAGCGUGAAGGAUGACUGCCCUAUGGGUUGUAAACUUCUUUUAUAUGGGAAUAAAAUGUUCCAAGUGUGGGAUUUUGUAUGUACCAUAUGAAUAAGGAUCGGCUAACUCCGUGCCAGCAGCCGCGGUAAUACGGAGGAUACGAGCGUUAUCAGGAUUUAUUGGGUUUAAAGGGAGCGUAGGUGGAUGGUUAAGUCAGUUGUGAAAGUUUGCGGCUCAAACGUAAAAUUGCAUUUGAAACUGGCAGUCGUGAGUACAGUAGAGGUGGGCGGAAUUCGUGGUGUAGCGGUGAAAUGCUUAGAUAUCACGAAGAACUCCGAUUGCGAAGGCAGCUCACUGGACUGCAACUGACACUGAGGCUCGAAAGUGUGGGUAUCAAACAGGAUUAGAUACCCCAGUAGUC
RNAcentral lists this ribosomal RNA (460 nucleotides) under uncultured bacterium. RNAcentral's name for it is "partial 16S ribosomal RNA". It matches the Rfam family "Bacterial small subunit ribosomal RNA", at positions 338 to 795 of the family's 1533-position model. The record is from RNAcentral.